Long non-coding RNA from Rhipicephalus sanguineus (brown dog tick), 2317 nucleotides. RefSeq lists it as uncharacterized. NCBI's taxonomy places the organism in Eukaryota, Metazoa, Arthropoda, Arachnida, Ixodida, Ixodidae. The record is from RefSeq and is a predicted model, not a curated record. The transcript is spliced from 2 exons.
CCCCCCCCCCCCCCUGUUGAGUAGAUCUCCCGGAUUCCGUUUCUCCAAACUUGGCAGGUAUGCCAAUGGAGCCACGGUGUGAAGCGGCCGUGGAAACGUCACAAUAUCUUGUGUGAGCACGUGACAAGAAGCUCAUACCAUGUUGUGGCGUCGAGGUACAGUAGGAACCGAAACUAGCUUUUGAAACAUGCUGUAAUUACCUUUUCAGGGUGCACUCAUGCUGAGCAAUAUGUUUUCUAGGCUCUUGAGGGCUUGGCCUUUCAUUUGACGCAAAAAAACGGAUUGAGAAUCUUCGUGUCAGUACCCCUUUAAAAGCUUGAAACAUUGUUCCUUUGUCCUUUGCAUUAUGUCGACAAAAACAGUAAUAGCUUUAGUUCUUAUUGUGAAGUUGUCAUUAUCCUGUUGUUGUCAGACCACCUCCCCAAUUUGGCUUUAUCUUUGCUGUGUGCUGCAAAAAAGAAAAAAAAAGCUCACAACUGCCAUUAUGCCAUUACACUGCAAGCAGACAAACUAAGCUGAAGUAGUGCUAGUGUGUGCAAUACUAUAGCAGUACUGUGUGAAAAACACAAAAUCAUGGCAUUAUCUUUGGUCUCCCAAAGGAAUACUGAAAGCAACAUUUUGUUUAACACUUCCAUGUCCCGUUAGAUGGCUGUCGACAUCAUAACAACAGUAUGGUUCUAGUGUCCUUUGAACAUGCAUUUAUGCCGUCUUUCAGCAUGACCAGUUUUAAAUGCAUGCCAACACCAGCACAACCUCACUGCCUAGGUUAUUCAGAAAAAGUGCCCAUUUUAUGAUGAGAAUUGGCUAUAGUCAUGAUACAGUUACGCAGUCAACUGACACGUGUUAGUCGGUCUGGUGAAGUGGCCACACGUGUUGCAUUGUUCGCAAACCACACCAUGUUCUUGGGAAUGAAAGUCGAGUGCAUGCUGUACUGGCCAUUGUUCUUUUUCGCUCUGAAUUCAUGUUCAAUGCAGCAUGAGCUUGGUCCUCUGUUGUCACUUCUUUCAGAGCACUGUGUGAUUUUAUUUCCACUAACCUUGUUAUCCCAUUUUUUGGCAAGUUCAUUACACUGCUGUGGUGACCACUGCACCACCCAUCUGAGAGAUGUCACAUGACUGCAGGCCCCAAUUUUCUUGAUGCUUUGAAAACAGUAAAGUCUGUAGCUGGCACUGUAUUUGGUGUGUAUUUUGAAUUUGUUGCAUUAAAAGAGUACACUGUCCUGGCACAUAAAUAGUGCCACAUUCAAGAAAAUGAGACCUAAUGUCACUGCUCUAAAUUAUUCAGCAGCUACCUAAUAAACAAUGGGGGAGAAAUUUCAUCAGUACUUUUUCUGAUGCUAACCACUGCUAGUAAAACAAUGUGCGAUACUGAGCAGUUUUGUUAUAUAGGUAUAGAACACCUACGGUAAUUUUUUCUCGUGAUUAUUAUGUGCACAUAACAGCAAAACUUUGCGGGAUGCAAAAUGUUAAAUGUUAGAGAAUUCUAUAUUCUCGCUUUGUCUGGGAACAUAACCUCCAAAUAAAGGUUCCAGCCUGUAGCUGGUACCACAAGCUAUACAGUCACCAGCUAGAUGAGAAGCAUUACAAACUAAUAAAGCAGAAAUUCGCAUUUCUUGUUUAGCCAAUGUCCUGUGAACUUUUGCUGUUAGGUGUACACAUGGCCAAAUAAGCAGGGGCAGCCAUGUGCUUGUGGUAUACCACUUCCACUGGAGUUUGAACCCAUUUUCUUGAGAGGUAUAGGCACUUAUCACUGUGCUAUCAAUUAAACCACUGGAACACUCACACUUGGCAUUUUGUUUUACUUAGCUACCUUUUUCAAAGCAGACUAUGAGAGUCGUGGACUCUGUAUGCUGUUAUAGUUGACAAGCAUAGAGUUGUCAGCAUUUCAAAGUAGUCAAGUCAGUGACAAUGUAUAAUGUGCAGUGUAAAAGAAUGAAGUGACUUGUAGCGCAGGAAAUGCAGACACAAAAGACGGCAGUAGACAACAUACCAGCGCUUGUAUGUUGUCUCCUGUCUUCCUAUGCUCCAAAUCAUUUCUGAUGUGCACCCAACAGACCCAAAUUGCCACAAUUCUGUAAAAGACUGCUGUUGUCGUCAUUGAUUAAGCACCAAAGUAAUUGCAGAAGCCUCUUGAUUUAAUGUAAAAUAUCAUUUGACAAAGAACAAAAAGUCAUAAUUUGCACUUGCUUAUGUUGUGAUGAAAAAUUGUUGAACAGGGAAUGUUGCUAGAGCCAAUGUUUCAACAAGAUUUGCAUUGUUUAUGCCCAUAUAGUAGUUCUAUGAAGGCUGUGUAUUAAAAAUUUUCUGAAACUUGGGAA